CAUAUUAAAACCAUCAAAAAUAAUUAAGCGGGCUUAUUACAUUUAAAAACCCAAAACUUCAAACGUAAAUAAAAGGAUGUCCAGUUCACCAGAAGAAAAUUAAACUUUCAGAACGGGUGGCCACUCCGAAUUCCCUCACAGCUCCAAGCCCACUAUGGUUGGGGAUUACCUGCGUGGAUGAAAAUAAAAGGGGUGAGUUUGGGGAAACUCAGUGUGUAAAUUAACCCAACCAUAGCCUAUAUCAGCUCAAACCACUGAAAUAGAAUAAGUUGGCCUUAGCCCAGAACAGAAUUCAAAAUAAAGCCCAUAGGCCCAUAACAGAACAGAACAGAUAUUACAUGUUUAUGCAGAAACCCAACCCAGAUUCAUCCAUAACACCCCCGUGCCAGCCUUACACCAUGUGGGGAGACUACUCGACCCACCCAACCGCUACACACCACAGAAUUCGCAGCGAGGCUGCCAGAUAUUGUGACGAAGUCACCAGAUACAGAUAUUGUGGCAGAGCCACCAGAACAGAUAUAUGUGGCAGAGCCACUAGAUCAGAUAAUCGUGGCAUAGCCACCAGAACAGAUAUGAACAGAUAUAUGUGGCAGAGCCAUCAGAUCAGAUAAUCGUGGCAUAGCCACCAGAACAGAUAUAUGUGGCAGAGCCACCAGAUCAGAUAAUUGUGGCAUAGCCAUCAGGACGCUUCCUCCAUAAUAUAACCCAUGUCCCCAUGCAACAGAUAUAUAAUCAUGGCAUGCAUCAUACAGAAUCAGAUCGUCAUGCUUUUCAGUCAAAAUUAACCCUAGGGGUAUAACGGUAAUUUUGCACCUAAGGGUAUAACAGUAAUUUUCCAUGCAUAGGGGUAUUAUAGUAAUUUAGCUACUUCUAGGGUUUUCAUGCAUAUCGUAACUAUUUACGUACUAUCAGAACACUUACCCCGCAUACUUACCAAAUUGGGCCCGUUGGCCCAUGAACCCGAUCUUUGGCCUAUUAAGCCCAAAUUAUCAAAAUGUACGAAAUCGUGCGUACUGCAGUUUAUUACUUUAGAUUACCAAAUAUACAACCCAACUAUCUUACGAGCAUUCUCACACUCGUAAAUUCCCAAAAUACCGACUUUUCGGCAUUUCGGCUUUUCGGCUUUUGCCAAUCUAGUCUAUGAGAGGGUGUCAGUUACACACCUAUUUGCGACGAUAUGCUGACGAGAUCCACACACGAACCGCCUACAAUUGGAUUACUAACACGUUAAUCUAACUAUUCAAAUACGAACUACGUAUUAACCCCUUACAAUAUUCGGCCAACCAAACCUACAGAUCAGAGUAAGCUUAUAAGAAAUCAAUAAGCAACUCAUUAACAAAUUUUUGUCAGUGUUUACCACAUAAUCAUAAUUUCACUGCAAGCUGUCUUCCUGAGCAACAGUCACUAAAUCAUUUAUAACUGGAGUUACAAAAAUCCAAAUCAAGUGCCGUUAAUUUUCCCUGAAAAUAGACUCAUAUAUCUUCUAUCCAUAAAAUUUUCAUAAUUUUUGGUUUAGCCAAUCAAUACCAGAUUUUUCUCAAAGUUUCCCAUGUUUCACUGUUUGACUAAUCUGACCACUCUUAAUUACGAAUAAAAUUUCUCAUUGUACAGAAUUCAAAAUAUGUUAUUGUUUAUUUCAUUUGAAACUAGACUCAAUAAGCUUUAAUUACAUAAUUUAUUCAGCUUCUAAUUCAUCUCCCACAAUUUAUGGUAAUUUUCCAAAAUCACGUUACUGCUGCUAUCCCAAGCAGAUUUAUUACCAAAUCACUCUUUCACACCUAACUUGCAUGCUUGUUAUUUAAACAUGUAUAUCACCAAUCAAUGAUCACAUAUCUAUGAUUUUACUUAAGUAUAAUCUCCAUUUCAUCAUUUUAAAGCACAACAUUUUAGCCGAUUUUUCCCCUUAGCAUCUAAGGCACAUGCAUGCUCAUUUGUUUGGCUCAACUUCACCUAUCUUCCAUUUUUCAUCAAAAGAACAUGAAACAACAACCAUUUCCUUCAUUUUAAUUCAUGACUAAAUGCUCACAACACAACUAAAAACCAAAAUAUGCUUCAAGAGUUAAGGUAGAAUCAAGAAGAACUCAUGAACAUCAAUAUAGAAGCAAACUACCAUGAAAUUACCUUCAAUUUUCUUCCCCAAGUGACCGAACAUUCAAGAGCUUUCUCCUCUCCUUUCUCUUCUCUAACUUUCGGCUAUGAUGAACAAAGAUGGACAAAACUUUGUUCUUUUCACCCCUUUUUCUUUUAAUAAAAUUUCAUAUUUCAUCC
This 2268-nucleotide long non-coding RNA is filed under the name Gossypium barbadense (sea-island cotton). Its description in RNAcentral is "long non-coding RNA (GBAR_LNC005072)". Lineage: Eukaryota; Viridiplantae; Streptophyta; Magnoliopsida; Malvales; Malvaceae. The record is from RNAcentral.